RNAcentral lists this long non-coding RNA (202 nucleotides) under Ananas comosus (pineapple). Its description in RNAcentral is "long non-coding RNA (ACOM_LNC043741)". The record is from RNAcentral. Lineage: Eukaryota; Viridiplantae; Streptophyta; Magnoliopsida; Poales; Bromeliaceae.
AGAAAAAAACAAAAUAUGAGAAAAAAAAUCACGGAGAGUUCGUUUUUAAAGUCAAAAUACUGUUGACGGAUUCAAAUCAAACAAAUUGAAAAAAUUAUAUAGUAAAAUCAAAAUUUAAAAAACUAAACAGCAAUUCAAAAUAUUUCAUAAUUUAGAUAAAUUCUAUAAAUUUUUUACUUUAUUAAUAAAAUAUCUUAUUCCU